AAACAUUACCAUACCUUGCUUAGAUAAGUGUUGUUUACCUCGGAUCUGUGGAAAAUCCUAAGUUUAGGGUUUCAUCAAAUUUUUUGGACACCGAUGAAAAAUAGAUAAGUGCAGAAAAAUGAGAAAAGUACGGAACUUCAAAAGAAAAAAAAGAGAAAGGAAAAAUUAUGAGAAAUAUCACGAAGCACUUAUCUAGAAGAAUUGAGGUUGGAAAAAAGCGUACUCAAAAGAGA
This 233-nucleotide long non-coding RNA is filed under the name Lathyrus oleraceus (garden pea). Its description in RNAcentral is "Pisum sativum (pea) long non-coding RNA (PSAT_LNC026225)". Lineage: Eukaryota; Viridiplantae; Streptophyta; Magnoliopsida; Fabales; Fabaceae. The record is from RNAcentral.